Molecule: transfer RNA, 71 nt
Filed under: Marmota monax (woodchuck)
Lineage: Eukaryota; Metazoa; Chordata; Mammalia; Rodentia; Sciuridae
Description: tRNA.Val
Rfam family: tRNA
About the family: Transfer RNA (tRNA) molecules are approximately 80 nucleotides in length. Their secondary structure includes four short double-helical elements and three loops (D, anti-codon, and T loops).
Source: RNAcentral
GGGGCUGUAGCUCAGUGGUAAAGCGCCCGCCUCACACGUGUGAGGCACUGAGUUCAAUUCUCAGCACCACA